GUGAGGAAUAUUGCGCAAUGGAGGCAACUCUGACGCAGCCAUGCCGCGUGCAGGAAGAAGGCGCUACGCGUUGUAAACUGCUUUUAACCGGGAAGAAACCCCAGGACGUGUCCUGGGUUGACGGUACCGGAGGAAUAAGCACCGGCUAACUUCGUGCCAGCAGCCGCGGUAAUACGAAGGGUGCAAGCGUUAUCCGGAUUCAUUGGGUUUAAAGGGUGCGUAGGCGGAGCGUUAAGUCAGUGGUGAAAUCCUGCAGCUUAACUGUAGACUUGCCAUUGAUACUGGCGCUCUUGAGUGCGGUUGAAGUGGGCGGAAUGUGCCGUGUAGCGGUGAAAUGCUUAGAUAUGGCACAGAACACCAAUUGCGAAGGCAGCUCACUAAGGCGAUACUGACGCUGAGGCACGAAAGCGUGGGGAUCGAACAGGAUUAGAAACCCCGGUAGUCC
This 445-nucleotide ribosomal RNA is filed under the name uncultured bacterium. RNAcentral's name for it is "partial 16S ribosomal RNA". It matches the Rfam family "Bacterial small subunit ribosomal RNA", at positions 354 to 796 of the family's 1533-position model. The record is from RNAcentral.